GGGGGGGGGGGGGGGGGGGGGGGGGGGGGGGGGGGCGGGGGGGGGGGGGGGGGGGGCGGGGGGGGGCGGGGGGCGGGGGGCGGACGGGGGGGGGGGACAGCGGAAUCUCCUUGUUCGGGGGGGCUAACGGAGGGGCACUUGCGCUCGUACCGCAUCCGGCCUACGGUUGCAGGCCUGGCCGCUUCGGCCCUGGCGCGAGUGACUGGGCCGACGUCGGAUUGGCUAGUUGGCGGGGUAAAGGACCACCAAGGCGACGACCCGGCCCUGGUCUGACAGGAUGAUCAGCCACACUGGAAAUGAGACACGGUCCAGACGCCUACGGGAGGCAGCAGUGGGGAAUAUUGGACAAUGGGCGCAAGCCUGAUCCAGCCAUACCGCGUGGGUGAAGAAGGCCUUCGGGUUGUAAAGCCCUUUUGUUGGGAAAGAAAAGCAGCAGGUUAAUACCCCGCUGUUCUGACGGUACCCAAAGAAUAAGCACCGGCUAACGUCGUG
Molecule: ribosomal RNA, 492 nt
Filed under: uncultured bacterium
Lineage: Bacteria
Description: partial 16S ribosomal RNA
Rfam family: Bacterial small subunit ribosomal RNA (bases 66-492)
Source: RNAcentral